CUACUUCCGGAAAAUUUGCAUAAAACUAGCAAGUGAGCUUUGUUCUCAAUACUGCUCUCAAGAUUGAUUGCUAGGUUUUGGCGAACAAAAAUGCGCUUUUCAAGUUAUGUGAUUAUGUUAAGACCAGCCCUUCAAAUACUGAGUUUUUAGACGUGUCUAAUAGAUGGCGUGUCGAUUAUUGUGUCAGUUAUGGGCUUAUUGCGUUUUGCUGUCAGAAGUUUAGUUAUCUUUUCUUCGAAAAUUACCAAUGAAUUCAUAGUCUUAUAACUGAAAACUUACAGUCUGAAUGUCGUGCAGCCGGCCGUCAACUAUUUUGUUCAAACUCAUUGUAUUCUACUGAAUGUGCCAUCGAAAUGAUACAGGAUUCAUCAUAAUUAUCGGCUGUUUCUAGUGGACUUGCUAGAUCAUCAACCCCAGCAUGGACCAAUCUCUCAUUCCAGCUUCUAGAGAAUCUUGGAUAACUGAUUGGCGGUUUCAUGUGAUCUAAACUCCAGGUUUCUAAAUUUGCACGGCAGCCUUUAUGAGAAUUCAUGUCCUUUCAAGUAAGUCAACAAGGUCACUUGUUUACUAACCUUUUGGCUGCUACCCUUGAAUCUCCCUUUUUACUCUCUAAAGACGGGCCAUCUUAAUUUGAGGGUAAUCCUUCGCUACUUGUCAUGGACUUCAUCCACUGGUGAAAACCGA
This is a long non-coding RNA of Daphnia pulicaria, 684 nucleotides long. RefSeq lists it as uncharacterized. Lineage: Eukaryota; Metazoa; Arthropoda; Branchiopoda; Diplostraca; Daphniidae. The transcript has 5 exons. The record is from RefSeq and is a predicted model, not a curated record.